UACGUAGGCAGCAAGCGUUGUUCGGAGUUACUGGGCGUAAAGAGUGCGUAGGCGGUUUCGUAAGUUUGGUGUGAAAUCUCCCGGCUCAACCGGGAGGGUGCGCCGAAAACUGGGGGGCUAGAGUGCGGGAUGGGAAAGUGGAAUUCCUGGUGUAGCGGUGAAAUGCGUAGAUAUCAGGAGGAACACCGGUGGUGUA
This 196-nucleotide ribosomal RNA is filed under the name uncultured prokaryote. Its description in RNAcentral is "partial 16S ribosomal RNA". It matches the Rfam family "Bacterial small subunit ribosomal RNA", at positions 524 to 719 of the family's 1533-position model. The record is from RNAcentral.